GUCCACGCCGUAAACGAUGGGCACUAGAUGUGGGCGGUGUCGACUCCGUCCGUGUCGCAGCUAACGCAUUAAGUGCCCCGCCUGGGGAGUACGGCCGCAAGGCUAAAACUCAAAGGAAUUGACGGGGGCCCGCACAAGCAGCGGAGCAUGUGGUUUAAUUCGACGCAACGCGAAGAACCUUACCUGGGCUUGACAUGUCCGUGAAACCCUUGGAAACAAGGUCCCUCUUCGGAGCGCGGUCACAGGUGGUGCAUGGCUGUCGU
Molecule: ribosomal RNA, 263 nt
Filed under: uncultured bacterium
Lineage: Bacteria
Description: partial 16S ribosomal RNA
Rfam family: Bacterial small subunit ribosomal RNA
Source: RNAcentral